AUGGCCGGGACGGCGAACUUUUGUACACGGCAAGUCUCCGUGCCAACGGACAACGGCGCCAGGUUGUUUCAUCACCACCGUUGUGAACCAGGACAAAACGAGAGCAGUGUGAGGUAUGUUCACCAUGGGCAGGCCAAUGCCUCAUGGCCGUCGGACCUAUUGGAGAAGAAAAGCACGGUCCAGCCGUCCAGGCUGAAGCCUAUGCCAUGCUGUCGAGCGCCGGAUCCAUGCAUGGGGAAGGAAAAGGAUUCAGGCUUGCAAGGGAGCGAAGACGGGCUGGGGAAGAAGAGAAGGCACAGCGGUGGCCAUCGGAAGUCUACCAGCGUCCGGAGUGGGUCGGGGACGGGCUGA
This 351-nucleotide ribosomal RNA is filed under the name Triticum aestivum (bread wheat). RNAcentral describes it as "partial small subunit ribosomal RNA". The record is from RNAcentral. Lineage: Eukaryota; Viridiplantae; Streptophyta; Magnoliopsida; Poales; Poaceae.